This 408-nucleotide ribosomal RNA is filed under the name uncultured bacterium. RNAcentral describes it as "partial 16S ribosomal RNA". It matches the Rfam family "Bacterial small subunit ribosomal RNA", at positions 28 to 526 of the family's 1533-position model. The record is from RNAcentral.
GACGAACGCUGGCGGCGUGCUUAACACAUGCAAGUCGAACGAAGUGGCGAACGGGUGAGUAACGCGUAAUAAACCUGCCCUUCAGCGGGGGACAACAGUUGGAAACGACUGCUAAUACCGCAUACUGAAGGAGGGGAUUGCGUGUGAUUAGCUAGUUGGAGGGGUAACGGCCCACGAAGGGGAGGGACAGUAGCCGGGUUGGGAGGAGUAACGGCCAACUGGGGACUGGGACAAUGGCCAGGACUCUACGGGGGGCAGCAGUGGGGAAUCUUCCGAAAUGGACGAAAGGCUGGAGGAGCAACGCCGCGGGGGGGAUGGCGGCCUUCGGGGUGUAAAACUCUUUUAAGCGGGAAGCGGUACCGGAAGAGAAAGCCACGGCUAACUACGUGCCAGCAGCCGCGGUAAUAC